AUGGGAGAGAAAAGCUUAGUAAAAGGUGGUGAGAGCCGUCUGCCACGGUCGCCGAGUGGCAUCAUUGGGGGUCUUUGUAGGUUAAAUUAUCCUGGACUGGUCACUUUACCGAACGGUAUCAUUGCGCGAGCUUGGUCAUGGGAUCACUACAAACUUGCACCGGAUUUCCUGGAUAUGCGUCAGAUGGUUUUUGACAACAGAGCCAUGCGAGGUGUCAAGGAUUUGUGGGAUUUCUAUACAUGCGUUGAAGGUCAGAAGGAUCGUGCAAAUGUGGUGGUUGAGAAUAUUGCCAAGAAACUAGUCCACGACAUUUACUAUGAGGUUAGUUCUCAAGUAUCUCGCGGACUAUCUCAACCAUAG
RNAcentral lists this ribosomal RNA (360 nucleotides) under Triticum aestivum (bread wheat). Its description in RNAcentral is "partial small subunit ribosomal RNA". Lineage: Eukaryota; Viridiplantae; Streptophyta; Magnoliopsida; Poales; Poaceae. The record is from RNAcentral.